Molecule: ribosomal RNA, 463 nt
Filed under: uncultured bacterium
Lineage: Bacteria
Description: bacterial SSU rRNA
Rfam family: Bacterial small subunit ribosomal RNA
Source: RNAcentral
CCUACGGGAGGCAGCAGUGGGGAAUGUUGGACAAUGGGCGCAAGCCUGAUCCAGCCAUACCGCGUGUGUGAAGAAGGCCUUCGGGUUGUAAAGCACUUUAAGCAGGGAGAAAAAGUUAUAAGUUAAUACCUUAUAACCCUGAUGUUACCUGCAGAAUAAGCACCGGCUAAUUCCGUGCCAGCAGCCGCGGUAAUACGGAAGGUGCAAGCGUUAAUCGGAAUUACUGGGCGUAAAGCGCGCGUAGGUGGUUUGUUAAGUUGGAUGUGAAAGCCCUGGGCUCAACCUAGGAACUGCAUCCAAAACUAACUCACUAGAGUACGAUAGAGGGAGGUAGAAUUCAUAGUGUAGCGGUGGAAUGCGUAGAUAUUAUGAAGAAUACCAGUGGCGAAGGCGGCCUCCUGGAUCUGUACUGACACUGAGGUGCGAAAGCGUGGGUAGCGAACAGGAUUAGAUACCCUGGUAG